AUUGAAUGCCGACGGCGUGGAUGAGGCAUGCAAGUCGAACGGAAUGGGGGUAACUCCAUUCAGUGGCGGAAGGGUUAGUAAUACAUGGGUAACCUGCCUAUAACUUUGGAAUAACGAUUGGAAACGAUCGCUAAUACCAAAUGUGGUGAGAGGAGGCAACUCUUUUUCAUUAAAGCGGGGGAUCGAAAGACCUCGCGGUUAAAGAAGGGCCCAUGGGAUAUCAGCUUGUUGGUGAGGUAAAGGCUCACCAAGGCUAAGACGUCUAGGCGGAUUGAGAGAUUGACCGCCAACACUGGGACUGAGAACUGCCCAGACUCCUACGGGAGGCUGCAGUCGAGAAUCAUUCGCAAUGGGCGCAAGCCUGACGAUGCGACGCCGUGUGUGUGAUGAAGGCCUUCGGGUCGUAAAGCACUUUCGCUUGGGAACAAGAGAGGUCGGAUAAUACCCGGCCAAUUUGAGGGUACCAGGUAAAGAAGCACCGGCUAACUACGUGCCAGCCGCCGCGGUAA
Molecule: ribosomal RNA, 509 nt
Filed under: uncultured bacterium
Lineage: Bacteria
Description: partial 16S ribosomal RNA
Rfam family: Bacterial small subunit ribosomal RNA
Source: RNAcentral